ACAAACUUGGUCAUUUAGAGGAAGUAAAAGUCGUAACAAGGUUUCCGUAGGUGAACCUGCGGAAGGAUCAUUAACCGUUACAAACAGUGUGUGAUGCGGCCGCCGAGGUGAAUAGCCUCUGGUUGGUAUGGGGUUCGCCCCUUCACGCUCACGCGUCUGCCAUCCUUACUUUACGAGCACCUUCUGUUCUCCCUCGGCAAGGGCCUCGCCCUGCCGUUGGAACUACAAAACUCUUUUUUGCAUCUAGCAUUACCUGUUCCGACAAAAACAAUCGUUUACAACUUUCAACAAUGGAUCUCUUGGCUCUGGCAUCGAUGAAGAACGCAGC
RNAcentral lists this unclassified non-coding RNA (328 nucleotides) under uncultured fungus. RNAcentral's name for it is "partial contains small subunit ribosomal RNA, internal transcribed spacer 1, and 5.8S ribosomal RNA". The stretch from base 1 to 73 matches the Rfam family "Eukaryotic small subunit ribosomal RNA", at positions 1759 to 1831 of the family's 1831-position model. The record is from RNAcentral. Lineage: Eukaryota; Fungi.